Long non-coding RNA from Octodon degus (degu), 301 nucleotides. RefSeq lists it as uncharacterized. The transcript has 3 exons. NCBI's taxonomy places the organism in Eukaryota, Metazoa, Chordata, Mammalia, Rodentia, Octodontidae. The record is from RefSeq and is a predicted model, not a curated record.
CCCAUUAUAGCCUGUGCAUGGCCCAGCGUAGGUGCUGCUGGCACUUUAUAAGGUGCGUGAACUUCUAAGAGGAUCUGUGCCUGAUCCAGCCUCUCUCAUGCUGGGGUGACAGGCAUGCACCACCAUAGCAAGCUCCUCAUAGCCUUUGCUUAUAGCUGGGAAGAAAGUGCUAGGGAUGUUCUGUGCUGCCAACAAUGACUUCAAGAGCCUCUGCCUCAUGUAAUGGUCUUUCGCAGAGGACUCCCCUUUAUCUUCGAUGCUGUCUCCUGCCUCACUGUAUGGUAAUAUCUCACCAUGCUAU